AAUAUUAAUAUUAUAUUACAAUUUGAUUAUUUGAUUAAAAAAAUAUUUUUGUUAAAAAAUUGAACCAAUAAUAAAAUGAAAAUUGUCAUGAUGGGUUGUAAAAAGUAUCUCAAGUGAGAAACUUUCUACACUCUCUCCUUCAUUUUCAUUAUUUUUAUUUUUUUAAUUGUGAGAAACUCUUAUGAAAUAUCCUCAAUGAAGAUGGUCUAAUAUUGAAAUUAGAAAA
This 226-nucleotide small RNA is filed under the name Arabidopsis thaliana (thale cress). RNAcentral's name for it is "ATSL008820". Lineage: Eukaryota; Viridiplantae; Streptophyta; Magnoliopsida; Brassicales; Brassicaceae. The record is from RNAcentral.